UAGGGAAUUUUGCGCAAUGGGCGAAAUGCCUGACGCAGCGACGUCGCGUGUGGGAUGAAGGGUCUCGGCUCGUAAACCACUGUCAGAUGGGAAGAUGGCGUCAACGAUUAAUACUCGUUGAUGUUGACUGUACCAUCAGAGGAAGCACCGGCUAACUACGUGCCAGCAGCCGCGGUAAUACGUAGGGUGCAAGCGUUACUCGGAAUCAUUGGGCGUAAAGGGUGUGUAGGCGGAAUAGUAAGUCAGAUGUGAAAGCCUUGAGCUCAACUCAAGAAGUGCAUUUGAUACUGCUAUUCUAGAAUCCAGAAGAGGAAGGAAGAAUUCCCGGUGUAGAGGUGAAAUCCGUAGAUAUCGGGAGGAAUACCGGAGGCGAAGGCGUCCUUCUAGGCUGGUAUUGACGCUGAGACACGAAAGCGUGGGUAGCAAACAGG
RNAcentral lists this ribosomal RNA (431 nucleotides) under uncultured bacterium. RNAcentral describes it as "partial 16S ribosomal RNA". It matches the Rfam family "Bacterial small subunit ribosomal RNA", at positions 355 to 776 of the family's 1533-position model. The record is from RNAcentral.